RNAcentral lists this unclassified non-coding RNA (336 nucleotides) under soil metagenome. RNAcentral's name for it is "partial contains 5.8S ribosomal RNA, internal transcribed spacer 2, and large subunit ribosomal RNA". The stretch from base 1 to 120 matches the Rfam family "5.8S ribosomal RNA", at positions 35 to 154 of the family's 154-position model. The record is from RNAcentral.
GAUGAAGAACGUAGCGAAAUGCGAUAAGUAAUGUGAAUUGCAGAAUUCCGUGAAUCAUCGAAUCUUUGAACGCACAUUGCGCCCCCUGGUAUUCCGGGGGGUAUGCCUGUCCGAGCGUCAUUGCAACCUUCAAGCGCGGCUUGUGUGUUGGGUCUCGUCCCCCGUGGACGGGCCCGAAAGGCAGUGGCGGCGUCCCGACAUGGUGCCCGAGCGUAUGGGAAUCCUCUUCCGCUCGAAUCGGCCCAUGCGGCGCUGGUCGUAACCAAAUUUUUUACCGGUUGACCUCGGAUCAGGUAGGGAUACCCGCUGAACUUAAGCAUAUCAAUAAGCGGAGGA